AGCCCGUUAGUGCAGUAGUCAAGCAUAUGAGAUUUUCAAUCACAAGAUCCUAGGUUCGAAUCCUAGACGGGCCU
This is a non-coding RNA of Echria macrotheca, 74 nucleotides long. The record is from the annotation of a GenBank genome assembly. NCBI's taxonomy places the organism in Eukaryota, Fungi, Ascomycota, Sordariomycetes, Sordariales, Schizotheciaceae.